GAAUGGAACUGUUUAAUGAUACAGCCCCUAACAUACUGCUAAUUAUAAUCCAUUAUGGAAAAAAAGACGUGAAGGAGCACUCAUUCAAGAACAGAGAUGAGCCAUAAACAUGCAACCGGUCAGCUCUCCACCCUACUUAGACCAACAUAAAAUGUUUUAAAAGAUCAUUUCAGAUAACAGCGGGCGUUCAUUCCAAAUCAGUUGAUAGCUGCUUUGUGUCUG
RNAcentral lists this long non-coding RNA (222 nucleotides) under Bos taurus (domestic cattle). RNAcentral describes it as "long non-coding RNA NONBTAT018809". The record is from RNAcentral. Lineage: Eukaryota; Metazoa; Chordata; Mammalia; Artiodactyla; Bovidae.